Molecule: small nuclear RNA, 21 nt
Filed under: Arabidopsis thaliana (thale cress)
Lineage: Eukaryota; Viridiplantae; Streptophyta; Magnoliopsida; Brassicales; Brassicaceae
Description: snRNA_15351
Source: RNAcentral
GGACAAGGGGAAUCCGACUGU